AUUGAACGCUGGCGGCAUGCCUUACACAUGCAAGUCGAACGGCAGCACGGGUGCUUGCACCUGGUGGCGAGUGGCGAACGGGUGAGUAAUACAUCGGAACGUACCUUAUCGUGGGGGAUAACGCAGCGAAAGCUGUGCUAAUACCGCAUACGCCCUGAGGGGGAAAGCGGGGGAUCGAAAGACCUCGCGCGAUUAGAGCGGCCGAUGCCUGAUUAGCUUGUUGGCGGGGUAAAAGCCCACCAAGGCGACGAUCAGUAGCUGGUCUGAGAGGACGAUCAGCCACACUGGGACUGAGACACGGCCCAGACUCCUACGGGAGGCAGCGGUGGGGAAUUUUGGACAAUGGGGGCAACCCUGAGCCAGCAAUGCCGCGUGAGUGAAGAAGGCCUUCGGGUUGUAAAGCUCUUUUGUCAGGGAAGAAACACCGGCUCUAACACAGUCCGGGAAUGACGGUACCUGAAGAAUAAGCACCGGCUAACUACGUGCCAGCCGCCGCCGUAA
This 501-nucleotide ribosomal RNA is filed under the name uncultured bacterium. Its description in RNAcentral is "partial 16S ribosomal RNA". It matches the Rfam family "Bacterial small subunit ribosomal RNA", at positions 29 to 523 of the family's 1533-position model. The record is from RNAcentral.